AGUGAACGCUGGCGGUAGGCCUAACACAUGCAAGUCGAACGGCAGCACAGUAAGAGCUUGCUCUUACGGGUGGCGAGUGGCGGACGGGUGAGGAAUACAUCGGAAUCUACUUUUUCGUGGGGGAUAACGUAGGGAAACUUACGCUAAUACCGCAUACGACCUACGGGUGAAAGCAGGGGAUCUUCGGACCUUGCGCGAUUGAAUGAGCCGAUGUCGGAUUAGCUAGUUGGCGGGGUAAAGGCCCACCAAGGCGACGAUCCGUAGCUGGUCUGAGAGGAUGAUCAGCCACACUGGAACUGAGACACGGUCCAGACUCCUACGGGAGGCAGCAGUGGGGAAUAUGGGACAAUGGGCGCAAGCCUGAUCCAGCCAUACCGCGUGGGUGAAGAAGGCCGUCGGGUUGUAAAGCCCUUUUGUUGGGAAAGAAAAGCAGCAGGUUAAUACCCCGCUGUUCUGACGGUACCCAAAGAAUAAGCACCGGCUAACUUCG
Molecule: ribosomal RNA, 490 nt
Filed under: uncultured bacterium
Lineage: Bacteria
Description: partial 16S ribosomal RNA
Rfam family: Bacterial small subunit ribosomal RNA
Source: RNAcentral